CAGUCUCUGGAGGUUGGGAAGAGGGCAUACAUUUUGGGGCUGACAAAAAUGAUAGAUGCCAGAGCUACAAGGCUGUGUUUUCACUCAAGUGCUUCUUUGACAGAGAGCGUAGACGCGAGCUCUGCCACGACCAUGUACAUGUCAAUCUGCAUAAACUAAUCACUGGAGCACUGCUGAGGACUUCAUUGCGAAGGGCCAUUUUGUUAGCCUUGUCUUCAUGGCUGCAAUGGAGCGCAAGGGCUCUGUGUGAGAUUAGACAAGUACCAUGGUCCUGAUUGCACAAGCCACAGAGAGAUACGGUUAAUCAGGGCUAUCCAUCCUUGUUUCCUAAAACAACACUGCAGUUGUGACACAGGCGAUUCAGAACUCUAGUGAAUGAAGUUGGAAAAUGAUUGGGCAUAAACGUAUUUCCCCUCAAGCAGCAAUUACAGAGAGAGUUCGUCACCAGAGGUUUUAUUUAUCAUCAAUACAAUAUGUGGCGGAGAGCAUCAGAAUGCAUUUUAAAGCUUGGCAGCCUUUGGUCCCCAUCCAGUUCUACUGUAUGGAAGAGAGCAGCUGAACAUCUGCUGAAUAUCUCCUUUUGUGCCCCUAGGAAGAAUAAAAGUCAUGCAAGGUUAGAAAGACAUGUGGCUGAAGACUGCCUCCUGUGUGAUGAAUAAAAUUCACAUCUCUACCAUAAAUCUUCAAGCAUCAAAACGAGGAAAUCUGACUGCAUCCACACUCUCAGUUAUGCUGGUCUCACUUCGUGCAAUUACGCUCACCUUCUUCUACAGCAAUUAUCUUGAUGUAUCAAGAUUCUCUCAGAUGCUGUUGCUUCCCCCAAAUAUUAUGUAAUAGAGUUUGGAGUCAAUUUUGUGUCACAUAAAGCCUUAAACAUUCAUUUGAAAAAUCAGAGCAGUCUCUGUUUUCCCCUCUGAUGUCUGUGGACUAAUUUCCAGAAUGGUUUGGUUCAGCUAAUUAGCAAUGGUAGAGAGAGAGAGAGAGAGAGAGAGAGAGAGAGAGCAAGCAUGCAAAAAGAGUGGAUAGAUGAAGGGGAAAAUAUGAAUAAUUAUUGUAUAUUUGUUCACCUAAUUUGUAUAAGAUGUCCAUUAUUGUUUACUGGAAAGUGCAAUACUUGCAUUUUGAAAUUGCUUUCUCUUUGUCUUAGGAUGGGUUGCUGUGGAUAUUAAAAACUUAGAAAAUUGGAAGAAGAAAAAAACAAAACAAAACAAAUCAAAAACACACAAGACAAUACAAAACAAAACAAAAACGCACAAGACAAAACUUAAUAAAUUAAAGUGGUUCACCCAGUUACAAUGGCUGCUACACCCCAAUUAAUAUUGGUACCACUUCAAAGAGAUUAGAUGUGGGUCUAUGUACUGUAUGUCUGUCCAAAUUUUCGAGUGCCAAAGCACAUCCUGUCUUCUCUGAUGACUAGCCUCAUAUAACGCCUAUAGCUGAUGAGUCCACCAUGGACCCUGAUGAAGGCAGAGGGAUUGUAUCUAUAGACUCCACUUAGAGAUGGAUGAGGCGCCAUGCAGGGACGGUGGUAACUGCCCUACUUCUUGCAAUAAGUUUGGAUUUGAAGCUCAAAGGAAUUGUUCCUAACUGACCUGCUCAUUUUACUUUAAUUCCUCUUCCCAAGCUUCUGCUGACAUUCCUGUGAAUUAUGGCAUAGGAUGUGCAAAUUCCCUAUUCCCUCAAUCGUGACCUUGUUUGGCUCAGUUUAUAAUGCAUACCAUCAUAUUUAAAUUCAUGAUCGUGAAACAAUAACAGCAUAAUCAGAUGCUUUCUUUGAAUCCUCAGGAAAACACACACACAAAAACAACAAUGUACUCUGGGUUCAUGCGUUUCCAAUAUUUGUACAACUUUCGCUGUACACAGACUAGAGUACAAGAAGAAGCUUCUUAAUGAUGAAAGUCUUUCACUGGCCUUGCAACUUUCCCUCUACCCAUGAAAUUUUUACAUUUCCAAUUUAUUAUAUAUUAAUUAUCCUCUAAUUAUGCAUUACAUAACAGCUUUUGCGAACACAGCUCAUGUAAGACCCUCAUAAUUUAUGAACUGCCUUUACAGAAGUGACAGAGUCAGAUGGACCAUCACACACUAAAAUGAGACAAAGAUUCAACAAAAAAUGCUCACAUAAUUCUCCAGGGGAAAAGCAAACACUAUCACUUAUUCUGCUUGUUCUUGUCUGUUUCUCCUUACUCUUUUCCUCCCAAGAAUCUCCUGUUAAAUUGUUUUCCCUGCCGGCCUUGAGUUUUGUCCUUUGAGAUAAGUGUCCAUGAGAGACAUGACACACUCAGCCUAAUCAGCUCUAACAGGGAAAGUACAAAAUAGUCCCUUGUCUUUUUGUUUCUUCAGGAAUUCAGGGUUGAGCCAGAGAUGCAAAACUCAAAUCAAAUGGUAGCAGCGAGAUCCUCCUUAUCGGUGAUGUAAAAUACACCGUCAAGAAGCACACCUUGAUUGAGACAGAUGGUCUAUUGAUUUCAUUUGAAAGGCUGCCACAUGUCCGUCUCUAUAACACUGUCCUUCUUCUGGACUUUAUCAACAGGAUUUUAGUAUUAUUGUGACAGAUACUGAGAGACAUAUGCACUCUCAACAGGUAGAAAAAUUGAUUUGGUAAGCUAAAAUACUGCAUUAAAGCAUUAUGGAAGUCAUAACAAACAAGGUGUCAAACAACCUCUAGUCUAUGGCAUUACAUUUAUGCAUUUGGCAGACGCUAUUGUACAAAGUCACUUACACUGCACUCAAUCUAUACAUUUUUUAACAGUAUGCAUGUUCAGUGGAAACUGAACCCAUUAACCUUGGCAUUGUAUGUACCAUGCUGUAUCAGCUGAGCAAUGUAAACCUGUUUCAUUAACAUUUGAGUCUUUGGGUAAUAUAGGUACCCACUAGAUUGCCUGAUACUCUACUUCAGUAAAAUGCAGUGUGCAAAAUGGACAAUGAAUGAAAAAAAAGUUUGUCUUUUUGGAACUUGGAAAUUUUGGACCCAUGGGGACAUCCAUAGUAUAGACAAAAAGGUUGCGUGGAAAUACUCCAUACAACUUCACUGCUAUAUUGCAAGUCUUGUAAGCCACACUGUCAUAAAAAAAAUGAACAGAGAUAUUUCAAAAUCAAACCAAACUAAAGCACACAUGCACAAAUUAAAUCAAAUAUGGUGACACAAACAUGAUUGACCAUACACAGCUGAAAAGUUUUUAAAAUAUAUUAUUUCAUGUUAUGCAGAAGUAAGCAAUCCCUUCAACAUUAGCCUGACAUGAGGGUGAGUAAAUGAGAUAAUUUUCAUUUUGGGGUGAACAGAUUUCAUCUCUUCUUAAUUGUCUUUUGAGAUUUAGACUAAAAUGAAAAUGAUCCAAAUCUAUUUAAA
This is a long non-coding RNA of Carassius auratus (goldfish), 3346 nucleotides long. RefSeq lists it as uncharacterized. The record is from RefSeq and is a predicted model, not a curated record. The transcript is spliced from 3 exons. Lineage: Eukaryota; Metazoa; Chordata; Actinopteri; Cypriniformes; Cyprinidae.